UACGUAGGGUCCGAGCGUUGUCCGGAAUUAUUGGGCGUAAAGGGCUCGUAGGCGGUUUGUCGCGUCGGGAGUGAAAACCUACAGCUUAACUGUGGGCUUGCUUCCGAUACGGGCAGACUAGAGGUAUGCAGGGGAGAACGGAAUUCCUGGUGUAGCGGUGAAAUGCGCAGAUAUCAGGAGGAACACCGGUGGCGAAGGCGGUUCUCUGGGCAUUACCUGACGCUGAGGAGCGAAAGUGUGGGGAGCGAACAGG
Molecule: ribosomal RNA, 253 nt
Filed under: uncultured bacterium
Lineage: Bacteria
Description: partial 16S ribosomal RNA
Rfam family: Bacterial small subunit ribosomal RNA
Source: RNAcentral